This 472-nucleotide ribosomal RNA is filed under the name uncultured bacterium. Its description in RNAcentral is "partial 16S ribosomal RNA". It matches the Rfam family "Bacterial small subunit ribosomal RNA", at positions 28 to 507 of the family's 1533-position model. The record is from RNAcentral.
GACGAACGCUGGCGGCGUGCUUAACACAUGCAAGUCGAACGCUGAAGCUUGGUGCUUGCACUGGGUGGAUGAGUGGCGAACGGGUGAGUAAUACGUGAGUAACCUGCCCUUGACUCUGGGAUAAGCCUGGGAAACUGGGUCUAAUACUGGAUACGACAUGUCACCGCAUGGUGGUGUGUGGAAAGGGUUUUACUGGUUUUGGAUGGGCUCACGGCCUAUCAGCUUGUUGGUGGGGUAAUGGCUCACCAAGGCGACGACGGGUAGCCGGCCUGAGAGGGUGGCCAGCCACACUGGGACUGAGACACGGCCCAGACUCCUGCGGGAGGCAGCAGUGGGGAAUAUUGCACAAUGGGCGGAAGCCUGAUGCAGCGACGCCGCGUGAGGGAUGACGGCCUUCGGGUUGUAAACCUCUUUCAGCACGGAAGAAGCGAAAGUGACGGUACGUGCAGAAGAAGCGCCGGCUAACUACGUG